GAUGAAGAACGUAGCGAAAUGCGAUAAGUAAUGUGAAUUGCAGAAUUCAGUGAAUCAUCGAAUCUUUGAACGCACAUUGCGCCCCCUGGUAUUCCGGGGGGCAUGCCUGUUCGAGCGUCAUUUCACCACUCAAGCCUCGCUUGGUAUUGGGCAACGCGGUCCGCCGCGUGCCUCAAAUCGACCGGCUGGGUCUUCUGUCCCCUAAGCGUUGUGGAAACUAUUCGCUAAAGGGUGCUCGGGAGGCUACGCCGUAAAACAAACCCAUUUCUAAGGUUGACCUCGGAUCAGGUAGGGAUACCCGCUGAACUUAAGCAUAUCAAUAAGCGGAGGA
This 331-nucleotide unclassified non-coding RNA is filed under the name soil metagenome. RNAcentral's name for it is "partial contains 5.8S ribosomal RNA, internal transcribed spacer 2, and large subunit ribosomal RNA". The stretch from base 1 to 120 matches the Rfam family "5.8S ribosomal RNA", at positions 35 to 154 of the family's 154-position model. The record is from RNAcentral.